Molecule: long non-coding RNA, 710 nt
Filed under: Phascolarctos cinereus (koala)
Lineage: Eukaryota; Metazoa; Chordata; Mammalia; Diprotodontia; Phascolarctidae
Description: lncRNA (ENSPCIG00000025248.2)
Source: RNAcentral
GUUUAAAGAGAGAAAAAAGGCACCUCUUAUGUAUGUUUGUGGAGGUCUUUCCUCCAAGGGCUUAUGAAAGCUUGCUAUUUCACAGACAGAACAUUUAUUAAUUUGGUUCAUCAUUACAAGGGUGGAAUUGUUGAGAAAAAUCUGGUGCUGGUAAAACAUUGUGAGGUACAAAGGAGACAAGAAAAAUGAGGAGCUUUUACUAUAUGAGGAAAAGGGAGAGAACUCUCCUUCACCUGUACAGGGCCUGAGUAACAUCAUGGAGCUGCCUUGCCCCUCCCCUCCGUCCUUCAUCCUGUUAUUUGUGGAAGGGGUUAGCUGCCUGGGUGGCCAAAGGCGUUGAAUCUGGAGUCUCUCAUGACCGCCGUGUUUGCUCCCCUGGCUUGUUGGCUGGGAGAGUACACUGUAAAGAAUGAUUUGCCUCUCACUUUGCUCACUCCAUUCAUUCAUUAAAUGUGGACCAGAUGGAACAAAGAAUCCCUUAUCGACCUACGGGCUCCACCUGAGACAUGACAUCCACAUGUGCUUCUUCUUUGGUUUCGAUCCGGCUUCAGCCAUCUUGCCGGGAGUGAAGUAAUGUUUUAGACUGCCUGUUCUGAGAUGAGAAAAGAACGGAGAGAAGACAUCAUGCUAGAAAUACCUUCAGCUUAAAGCAUCUGUCAAGGAUGGGGAAUAGACAGGACAGGAGAAUAAAAGUGAUGCCACAAGAGUCA